UAUCAGUUUUAUUGGACAAUUGAAGAGAACAAGAGAUCUGCUUCUUCAAUUCAAAUGGAAAUUUGAGCUCUAGAGGUUCGAUGCUGAGAAGCUCUCCCGUGCUCAUCUCGAAGGACUGGGAAAUUCCCAAAAAAAAAAAAAGAGUAGUUUCUGGAAAGGAGAUUUGGAGAAGAUCCGGAAAUAUAUGUAUAUGAGAGUGUGGAAUCUGAUUAUGAAAAGUGCAUUCAGAGAAGACGAUAGGUAGUUGGGAGUUGCAAAUUGCAAAUUUUAUUAUGGCGUCUUCUUCCCUU
This 290-nucleotide unclassified non-coding RNA is filed under the name Hevea brasiliensis (rubber tree). The record is from RNAcentral. Lineage: Eukaryota; Viridiplantae; Streptophyta; Magnoliopsida; Malpighiales; Euphorbiaceae.